Molecule: ribosomal RNA, 464 nt
Filed under: Vreelandella stevensii
Lineage: Bacteria; Pseudomonadati; Pseudomonadota; Gammaproteobacteria; Oceanospirillales; Halomonadaceae
Description: partial 16S ribosomal RNA
Rfam family: Bacterial small subunit ribosomal RNA
Source: RNAcentral
CCUAGGGUGGCAGCAGUGGGGAAUAUUGGACAAUGGGCGAAAGCCUGAUCCAGCCAUGCCGCGUGUGUGAAGAAGGCCUUCGGGUUGUAAAGCACUUUCAGUGGGGAAGAAAGCCUUGGGGCUAAUACCCUCGAGGAAGGACAUCACCCACAGAAGAAGCACCGGCUAACUCCGUGCCAGCAGCCGCGGUAAUACGGAGGGUGCGAGCGUUAAUCGGAAUUACUGGGCGUAAAGCGCGCGUAGGCGGUCUGAUAAGCCGGUUGUGAAAGCCCCGGGCUCAACCUGGGAACGGCAUCCGGAACUGUCAGGCUAGAGUGCAGGAGAGGAAGGUAGAAUUCCCGGUGUAGCGGUGAAAUGCGUAGAGAUCGGGAGGAAUACCAGUGGCGAAGGCGGUCUUCUGGACUGACACUGACGCUGAGGUGCGAAAGCGUGGGUAGCAAACAGGAUUAGAUACCCCAGUAGUC